This 253-nucleotide ribosomal RNA is filed under the name uncultured bacterium. RNAcentral describes it as "partial 16S ribosomal RNA". It matches the Rfam family "Bacterial small subunit ribosomal RNA", at positions 524 to 776 of the family's 1533-position model. The record is from RNAcentral.
UACGUAGGGGGCAAGCGUUGUCCGGAUUUAUUGGGCGUAAAGCGCUCGCAGGUGGUUCGAUGCGUCGUGCGUGAAAGACCCCGGCUCAACUGGGGAGUGUCGUGCGAUACGGGCAGACUAGAGGUAGGCAGGGGAGAGCGGAACUCCUGGUGUAGCGGUGGAAUGCGCAGAUAUCAGGAAGAACACCGGUGGCGAAGGCGGCUCUCUGGGCCUUACCUGACGCUGAGGAGCGAAAGCGUGGGUAGCGAACAGG